CUUUUCCAGAAAAAUGUUUGUUUCCUAACAUUUGGGAACUGCACUAUUGAAUGCCUCUGAGUACAGCUGAGGCCAGUUCUCUAGCAAUUGGAAGUUCCACCUGUGAAUAGUCUUGGGGAAUGCCUGGUUUCAGGUUUCUGUUCAGCAGCUGCUGUGGUAGUGGGUAGAGUGUGCUGUGGGCAGGGUGGUGACAACUGAUCUUUUUGUUCUUCUGUUUGCGUGUGCAACAGCUUUCAAUAGCUUCCCAACCACACUGCUGCAUGUGUUCUUUAUUCUGCAGGAAUCUGAUUGUCACUGAUAUGCCACUGACUUGUGCUUCUGGGAAACACCUUUACCUUCAAAUGCUGCAUCCAACCCAGCCAGACGGGAGUGUCUGGCAGACUCUGGACGUCCAAGGUAAAAAGUUAUAAGUUGGCUUGCUACUCUGAAUUCAUUUUUAAGCAAAAUCAUCCUUGGAGAACAAUAGUUACAGUUGCUGGAGUUAUUACAGCUGAUUUUGCCCCAGGCACAGUUCACUGGGGAGCUGGUACCUGGGGUUCCACUGAUAUCCCUGUCACUGGCAAGACUUCUAACAGGACACUUAGCAUCUUGUUAAUCCAAUGGCUUCAUUGA
RNAcentral lists this long non-coding RNA (612 nucleotides) under Numida meleagris (helmeted guineafowl). RNAcentral's name for it is "lncRNA (ENSNMEG00000018359.1)". The record is from RNAcentral. Lineage: Eukaryota; Metazoa; Chordata; Aves; Galliformes; Numididae.